RNAcentral lists this ribosomal RNA (393 nucleotides) under uncultured bacterium. RNAcentral describes it as "partial 16S ribosomal RNA". It matches the Rfam family "Bacterial small subunit ribosomal RNA", at positions 523 to 918 of the family's 1533-position model. The record is from RNAcentral.
AUACGGAAGGUCCGGGCGUUAUCCGGAUUUAUUGGGUUUAAAGGGAGCGCAGGCGGAGAUGCAAGCGUGACGUCAAAUUUCGGGGCUCAACCCCGUCUCGCGUCGCGAACUGCGUCCCUUGGUUGCGGGAAGGGGAGGCGGAACUCGUGGUGUAGCGGUGAAAUGCAUAGAUAUCACGAAGAACUCCGAUCGCGAAGGCAGCCUUCCGGCCCGUCAACGACGCUCAUGCUCGAAGGUGCGGGUAUCAAACAGGAUUAGGUACCCUGGUAGUCCGCACAGUAAACGAUGGACACCCGCGGUUUGGCCUGUAUGGCUGAGCCGCCAAGCGAAAGCGUUAAGUGUCCCACCUGGGGAGUACGCCGGCAACGGUGAAACUCAAAUGAAUUGGCGGGG